AUGUUCUCUGUAGUUCUGCUGCUUCUGGCUGCUGGAUCCUGUGUGAAGUGUGAACAGCUGACACAACCAGACUCUGUGAGUCUGCAGCCAGGUCAGAGACUGACCAUCACCAGUCAGGUCUCUUAUACUCUGAACAGCUACUACACACCUUGGAUCAGACAGCCUGCAGGGAAAGGACUGGAGUGGAUUGGGAUGAAAUACACUGGAGCUUCUUUCUACAAAGAUUCACUGAAGAACAAGUUCAGCAUUGAUUUAGACUCUUCCAACAACAGAGUGACUCUAAAUGGACAGAACAUGCAGCCUGAAGACACUGCUGUGUAUUUCUGUGCCAGAGAUUCACAGUGAUACAAACCAUCAGCAGACCUGAACAAAAACCCUCAGAGCCUGAAAACUUGUAGCAUGAAUCCACCAGAGGAGGCGCUCUAACACCACCAAUGUUUUUAUUUAUUUUUUACCUCCAUAAAUACUUUACGGCAUAUAUCUUUAAAGUUUUGUAAACAUUAGUUCAACAAAUUAUUAUUUUUAUUAAAUCAAGAAAAAUCAAUUCAAAUCACAUAAAAUAAAACCAAGUUUUCUUUAUGAGGCACUUUUUAUUAAUACAUAAAGUGCUUUACAAUUAAAACAGAAAACACAAAAGUUCACAUAAAACCCCAACCCACGCUUUACCCUCCCCCCAUAUAUCCCCCACAUGACACAAGAUAUGGCACAUGGUAAUCACUCAGGCCAGUAUACCUAUCAUAUUUGAGGUGAGGAUAUCUCCAGAUUUCACCCAUGCAGGUCAUCAUGACAGGAUUCUGACCUUUUUCAGUAUAUUGACACCAGAUAUCACCAGAUAUGACUGCAAGUCAAUUUCCAAAACUUGGAUAUGACCUAAAUAAGACACAGCUAGUAUCCUGACACACUAUAUGUCCUGUGUCAGUAUCGUCAGCCCAGAUAUCUCCAGAUAUGCUGCAUGUUUUAAUAUGUACCAGAAAUGGUCGAGAUUCUUCUGAUAUUUAAGGAAGUAUCCCCAAAGGAUAUUUACAGAUUCUGGCUCUUUUCACGCAGUGUACCUUUCCAUUCCUUUCUUUUACAGUUGCUAACGUCAAUAAGACUAAUUUCCCUUCAGUGCUUCUUUAUUUUACUUCACAACAAGUAAAUAGAGGGGAGGAGCUACUUGGCAGUGCCCCCCAGCCAGCAACCAAGUAGAAGAUGUCCUCUCAGCGCCCUUACCACCACUUUUAACUGCACCGUUUACCCCACAACAACCUCUACACACAAACACAGAUUACACAAGGGAGGUGGGACCUCUGAUCUUCUGCCCCCCAUCCCAUCCCUGAUGGGGGAACCAGGCCCUCAGCAGUGGGGGCCGUGUCCAUUAGCCUCACUGGCCCCGCAACCCUCUCUCCACAUAGGGAGAAGGAACCUUGACGGCUGGCUGCCGCUGCUUAGACUAACAUUUACUGACAAUAAUGUUAAUAAACCUCCACUAACUUGUUGUUUUAUGAUUCUACACAUCCCCCUCUUCUUUAAUCAUCCUCCAACUUCCUCAACUGAUCCCUUUUUUUCCUCUCCUUUAUAUUGUACCCUUCUCCCCAUCCCACUCUCUACUUCUCUCUUCUUCUUUUCCGUCUGAUCCAACAAAAAAAGUGUACAAACAUAAUCAAUGUGAAUAAAGUUUAGUCUCAGAUACAAAAGGGGAUUAUAUAAAUAGCCUACAAGCCUUGUGUGUUAGAAGACUCAUAACCCCUUAUUGCAGCAGUAAAAUUUGUCCUACCCAAGAGACCCUCAGCUCUAAUCUGUUUGUUCAGCUUUUGGACAGGACAAGUAAAA
Non-coding RNA from Oryzias melastigma (Indian medaka), 1812 nucleotides. The record is from the annotation of a RefSeq genome assembly. NCBI's taxonomy places the organism in Eukaryota, Metazoa, Chordata, Actinopteri, Beloniformes, Adrianichthyidae.